UGGGGAAUUUUGGACAAUGGGCGAAAGCCUGAUCCAGCAAUGCCGCGUGUGUGAAGAAGGCCUUCGGGUUGUAAAGCACUUUUGUCCGGAAAGAAAUCCUUGGCUCUAAUACAGUCGGGGGAUGACGGUACCGGAAGAAUAAGCACCGGCUAACUACGUGCCAGCAGCCGCGGUAAUACGUAGGGUGCAAGCGUUAAUCGGAAUUACUGGGCGUAAAGCGUGCGCAGGCGGUUUGCUAAGACCGAUGUGAAAUCCCCGGGCUCAACCUGGGAACUGCAUUGGUGACUGGCAGGCUAGAGUAUGGCAGAGGGGGGUAGAAUUCCACGUGUAGCAGUGAAAUGCGUAGAGAUGUGGAGGAAUACCGAUGGCGAAGGCAGCCCCCUGGGCCAAUACUGACGCUCAUGCACGAAAGCGUGGGGAGCAAACAGGAUUAGAUACCCUGGUAGUCCACGCCCUAAACGAUGUCAACUAGUUGUUGGGGAUUCAUUUCCUUAGUAACGUAGCUAACGCGUGAAGUUGACCGCCUGGGGGAGUACGGUCGCAAGAUUAAAACUCAAAUGAAUUGACGGGG
This 571-nucleotide ribosomal RNA is filed under the name uncultured bacterium. RNAcentral's name for it is "partial 16S ribosomal RNA". It matches the Rfam family "Bacterial small subunit ribosomal RNA", at positions 355 to 918 of the family's 1533-position model. The record is from RNAcentral.